This 564-nucleotide ribosomal RNA is filed under the name uncultured Glomeromycotina. RNAcentral's name for it is "SSU rRNA". It matches the Rfam family "Eukaryotic small subunit ribosomal RNA", at positions 548 to 1114 of the family's 1831-position model. The record is from RNAcentral. Lineage: Eukaryota; Fungi; Glomeromycota.
UUGGAGGGCAAGUCUGGUGCCAGCAGCCGCGGUAAUUCCAGCUCCAAUAGCGUAUAUUAAAGUUGUUGCAGUUAAAAAGCUCGUAGUUGAAUUUCGGGAUCAGAGUGUCGGUCGUGCCUCGGUACGCACUGGUAUUAUUGGUUCCUACCUUCUGAAGAACCGCGAUGUCAUUAAUUUGGUGUCGUGGGGAAUCAGGACUGUUACUUUGAAGAAAUUAGAGUGUUUAAAGCGGGCUUACGCUUGAAUACAUUAGCAUGGAAUAAUGAAAUAGGACGUUUGAUUCUAUUUUGUUGGUUUCUAGGAUUGACGUAAUGAUUAAUAGGGAUAGUUGGGGGCAUUAGUAUUCAAUUGUCAGAGGUGAAAUUCUUGGAUUUAUUGAAGACUAACAACUGCGAAAGCAUUUGCCAAGGAUGUUUUCAUUAAUCAAGAACGAAAGUUAGGGGAUCGAAGACGAUCAGAUACCGUCGUAGUCUUAACCAUAAACUAUGCCGACUAGGGAUCGGAUGAUGUUAAUUUUUUAAUGACUCAUUCGGCGCCUUACGGGAAACCAAAGUGUUUGGGUUC